Equus caballus (horse) is the source of this 7999-nucleotide long non-coding RNA. The record is from Ensembl. Lineage: Eukaryota; Metazoa; Chordata; Mammalia; Perissodactyla; Equidae.
GAAAAAAUAAAAAUUAAAACAUCAAAUUCUCUACUAAAAAGUGAUAAUUUUUAAAAGAUGCUAUAAAGGAAACAGGUGGCUUUAACAUUAGGAUAAGUGCAAAAAGUCUGUACUUUGCAAUGUCAUAUUUAGGAGUAAUUUACUAUACAGUAAAAAUCAACCACUGAAUGUACUGCUUUUCUCUCUAAUGAUUUUCUGAAAGAUGUAACUGAGGCUUAAGAUGAGAGUUUAAAAAUUACGGUUGCGGUAUGGCUAUGGAAAUGCUACAAACACUUGACUUUUGCAUUCAAUCUUCCAUAAGCUGAAAAAAAAAAUAGCCCUAUGUCUCUGAUUGCUACUUUAUAUUAUUUGAGAAUUAAGAAUUAUUUCGAAAAGUCAUAAUAAGCUGAAAGUACUAAACUUCUUGAAUUUUAUGCUUAUUACAUGGUUGACAUGGGAACGAGGCAGCAAAGCCUGAAUUCUAUGAGAAUGUCAGUCAAAGAGCACCUUGUUCCUGUUCUAAAAUUACUCUUCAUUUCCUAAACUCUUUAAUUAUUUAUGACCACCUUAUCAAAUUACCAAGUUAACUUCCUGAAUCAUUCUACAAUCCAUAACUUAUCUGGCUUGUAUAUUUUCUGUCUAUUGUCGCAACUGAAAGACACCAUACUUUGACCUGAUUACUACUGCUAAAUAGUUUGUUAGGACUGAAUUUCUCAUUAUUUUAAACCACACUUGUUUAUUAUCAGCUUCAAAAAAAUGGUAAACAUUCUUAAAUUCAGUGUGUUCUUUCCUAGUGACACUUGGUAUCCAGAUGAAAUGGCACAUCACUACCAAAUUGGAAAAGAAACCACUUUUUCUUAUGUAUGUAAACCUGAAAAAAACCUGAGCAUGUAGAAAGUCAUUAUAAUUAUAAAAUUGAUAAAACAUAUCCUAGGCUACAGAUAUGCAUAAGUGUUCUAAGACCAGUAAUUCUCUGAAGAUAUUGAAGAUGAUCACAUUACAGCAAUUACAGCUUUUAUUCCUUUGUUAAAGAUAUGUUUGUGUGGAUCUAUUUCUGGGCUCUCUAAUUUGUUCCACAGAAGAGGAAAGCUUUUAACUUUCCACUUUGUAUCCUGCUAUAUAUGUUACUUCUCUAAAAAGUAAUAAGUCACCUUUUACCAGAAGGAAGUUCAGCUAAUUUUUAAAAGUAUUUAUCCUUCAGUGGUAGAAUUACAGAUGUUUUUUCAAUAUGUUUGUUCGAAGUUUUUUUAAUGCAUUACGCAUAUAUUAUUUGGUCAUAUGGGUGAGGAGCAUAAUCAUGUAGAGACACAACGUAAGUGAGGUGCACACUGUGGAAGUAACACCAAGUUUCACCAGCAAGAGGAAAAGAACUCUGGAUAAUAAAGGGGACUAGUGAGAAUGUGCAAGACUGAGCUGCUGUGGGGCAAUCAGAGGAGAGGAGGGAUCUGGAAGCUGAGAGUGGGGAAAAGAACUACAUCUCUGGAAACUGUGUGAAUGAAAUGCCACGUGCUAUAUGAUGUAUCCCUUUCCCCACUUUCUGUAUUAUUCAGAAAAUAUUAUUAUUCAAUAAACAAUUCAAAAUCUCAGUGGUUUAUAAAAGCAAAUAUUUAUUUCUUGCUCCUGGGUCUACAGAUGUUGACUGCAGCUGUGUUGAGCCUGGUUGAGUUCCUAGGGUCAGCUAGGCUUGAGUUCACAUAUGCAAUAGGUGUGUCUCAUUCUGGGAUGCAGGUUGAAGAAGGCAUGCUACCUCAGUGUGCUCUUUUCACGGCAAAUAGCAAGAGUUCAAGAGGACAAGUGGCCUUUACUCAGAACUGGCACACCCUCAUGUCCCAUACUGCAUUAGGGUAAGGCAAGUUAUCUGGCCAGCCAAGUCAGUGGGGUGUGGUAGUAAACUCCACCCAAUGCCCAAUGGGGUAAGGGAAGGAAGAAGUGAACACUUGCUAAACGAAUAAUCCAACCACACAAAACUUCAGUAAAACCAGAAACAUAAUGCUACAUUUAUUUAGUGAAUCAAAAGAGUAUGCUGAGUUUUGCAAUAUUUUCUGUAUAGAACUGAAAGUACAAGCCUACGUGAAUGAGAACCAGCAAAAAACUGGAUUAUACUUUUAUUUCUUCCACAUAAAGAGGAAAGAAAACGAUCUAUAUGCUGUUAAUCAACAACUGUUUAUUACAUUCUGUUCUAAAUAAUUUAAUUUAAAUUUGUCUAUUUGGCAUCUAUUAAUCAUGGGGCCAAACUAACAACCAAAGUUGUUUACAUCUCCCCUGCAGUCUAGCUUUCACAGGUGCAUGGAAAUCAUAUUACAAACCUUCCAACCACGAACUCAAACAUCUGUGUAUCACUUCCUGCCCAAUAGGGGACAUUCUCACCUAACAACUUUCUACUUCUAUAGUAAUAAGGCUCUGGCAUAGGCUUUUCUCUUACUCCUUCCUGCCUCCUGACCAACACCAGUGCUUUCACAUAAGGCACUGCAUGGCAUGGCUUGCCCCCUCCUCUUGGGAAAUGAAAGAAAUAAAAAUCUUUCAGUGGCAUUAGCCUCUCCCUGUCAGCACUCAUUCACCUCUAUAAAUUAAAAUCCCUGGGUACACUUUAACAUGCUAAGGGGCAUAAAGACUCCUAUGUCUUUCCUAGCACUCUCUUACUGAGCUGCCUCAGAGGUCCACAAAGCAUUCUUUCAGACUACAAUGAAUAAUAAACCCAACUUGUUCAACAACAGGUGUAUUCCUGCUAGUCUUCAGCAGGAGGGCACUGACACUGCCAAAUGAUGAAGAAUCAAGGCCUGAAGGGAUAAAUGGCUCAUCAAGGUGACACAUUCAGUUUUUCACAGAGAGUGAUUAGAAUCUGGACUUCCUGAUAUCCACAUCAAUAUGCAUCUUAUUAUCUCUUGUGCAUCAGGGUGGAAACCUACCAGAUUUCUUAAAAAUAUAACCUUUUCUCAUUCAAGAUUGGACCUAAUGGUUUAAACUCUUGCAAGUUGAAGUGUACUUCCCUAUAGCAUCAAGCUUUUCCAGUGACCUUCCUUUGCAGUUUACCUUAGUCUCUCACCUUCAGUCACAUGCUGCAAUUUUUCAUUAACGAUAAUGGCACUCCCUCCAUACUCUCAUUUGAACACCACUUCCCACACGUCCAGCUCACUUUCUCUAGUCAUGAAACACUAAAAAUCCUUCCAAGCAACUCCUCCACUGCCUUUCACAAAUCUCACCAUUUUUUCACUGACCUUUACCCCUAUACCACCACACCAUCAAUUCCCUACUACUUGAUUAAAUUCUGUAGUUGAUUCUUUAAAUCUUAAAUCAUCACCUUCAAUAUUUUAGCCCCCUUUUCCUUUUCUUACUUACUGGCUAAACCACAGCCUUAUUUAAAAAUAAAUCUAUCCUUACCUGAGACACUGAAUGUGACUGAAGGAAAAGUCAAAGCCAUGCUGUCUGUUCUCACUUUCAUUUCAUAGAAGUCCACCUCAAGUGGGCCUUUAAUAUUGAACAGUAAUUAUAACCUAUUUUCUUGUUCCAUUCCUAUUCUCAUUCUCCUCGACCAUUUGGUAUUUCCUUUUUCCUUAAACCUCCUCAAACUCACUUUCAGCAGUUGUUCUUGCUUUCUGAUUCAUUGAGAAAAAAGACGCAGUGAGAUUUCACAGGCCUCCAAGACAUCUACCCACUUAUCUGCACCUUGGCAAAAAUGUUAUACUUACUUUCCUAUUACUGUAGAUGAAACAUCCAUGUUCUUAGUAAAGGCCAGCCUCUCCUUUUGAGCACUAGAGCCCAUCCUCUCCAGCUAAUUCACAGCAUGGAUCCAUCAGUCUCCCCUACUUCUCAAGUAUCUCAUGGAUCACCAAUUUUCUUCUUCUACUGGAUAAUGAAAAUUAGCAUAAAUGCAUGCUGACGUUUCCUUAUAAAAACAGCAUUGUGAUCAUACUCCCUCCAGCAACUAUCACCUUAUUUGUUUAAUUUGCUUUACAGUAAAAUUUCUUUGAACUAUUGCCUAUAAUAACUGCCUCCAAUUUAUUUCUCUCCAUUCUCAAUGCAGUUCCUCUCAUCCUUUUGCACUUGAUUGAUAUCAUUUUUACUGUUCUCAACCAGGAUCUCCACUGGGUGAAAUCAACAGUCAUUUCUCAGUCACCAUAUUAAUACAGCAACAUUUGAAACAAGUGAUCAUUGCAUGCUCCUUGAAACACUUUCUUCACUUGGGUUCCAAGACACUGCAAUUGACCUACCGCUCUCGUCACACCUUCUCAGUCAGCUUUGCUAGUUCCACAUCAUUUCCAAUAUCAGAGUGUUCCAGGAUCACUCCAUUGGUACCUUCAUUUUUCUUUUUAAAAACUGGAGUCAUUUUUCAAUCCUAUUAUAGUACACAUACAAAAUAAAAGCAAAUCCUGCCAGGGGCAACUAAAAAAUACCUGGAAUUCUAUACCUAGAAUUCUUUAAAACAAAUUUAUAUUCAUUUCUUGUUGAUUUAAUUCAGUCUCAUGAAAUAUAAAUACCACCUAUAUAUUAUUAUUUUCCAAACUGAGAUGUUCAGACUGGUCCACUCUCCUGAACUCUAAGCUGGUUCAGGUAUCUAGAUGCCUAGUUGAUACUUGAAUUUGGUUGUCUUCAUGCCCCUCACAUUCAACACAUCCAAACAGACCUCCUGACAUUCUAACACCAACUUGCUCCCUACACUGUCUUCUUGAUCUUAGAACAGGUAAAUUCAUUCUUCUACUCCGUUCAAAACACUGGUAUAUCCUUUAAUUCUUUCUCAUAUCCAAUAAAUUAGCAAAUCCUCACCUUACUACUUCCAAAUGUAUCCAAAAUUUGACCAUGGCUAAAAGUUUAUUCCAGGCUAAUGCCAUUUCCAAUCUACAUUAUUUUACUAUAAUAUUUUAUACUACCUUUUUACUAGUCUUCCUGCUUCUUCCCUUCAUCUUAAUCCUAGAUCUAUGAAAGGGUAAUUUCCUUCCAAAGUUUAUGAGCUGCCUUCCUUCUAUUCUAUUGUAAUGUCUCUUUCAGCUUUCUACUAUCUUAUUUCAGGUUCUUACUUAUUUUUUUGUCUAAUUACAAUCAUGUCCUUUUCAACUGUCUCCAUGCCUCCAAUGUAAUUAUCCUCUAAUCCAUUCCCCACAUUACUGCCAACAUAAACUUUGUAAAACAAUAGUCAUUUUAUUGCUUAAAACUAUUCAAUGGAUUUCCACUUUCUACAAAUUAAAGUCUAAGAUCCUUAGCAUCUUAGAGUCCUAAGGCAGAGCCCUCCAGCACCGACCAAGAUGGUGAAUCAGACUUCUACUGGUAUCAGACUAAAUUUUCCGCCAAAAACAACUAUAAAAGCUCACCAGUAUAAAUUACAUAAGUCACUAUCUUCAGAAAUUGGACAGCAAUCAGCUCAGACAAGAUUUGAAGGGCUAAUAUUACUGAAGGAAGGCAAUUUGAGAAAAGUCCUAUAUUAAACCCACAACUUAAGCAUAAAGCAGCAGUCUCACCAGGCAGAGGGGAAAAAAGUUGGACUUUGGGUCUGCUAAAGGUGCUAGAAUUUGAAAGGCAACAUGUUGGAGAGGAGAAAGCCACAGAAAAGUGAGCUCUCAAAUUCCACAUGCAAUUUUCCCUUGCUGUUUUGGCUGACUCCUAAGCUCAUUAAUACACCAUGAGACAUGAAGACAAUACACAUCAAUGUGAUGUAGCAAAACACAUCAAUGGGAGGAUAAAGAGAUGAGCAGCGAUUUCACACAUGUUAUUCUUUCUAGCUGAAAUAUAAUUUAGAACAUGGUGCUUAGAGGCCAUGGCUGGUAUUCAAAUCACGCCAAGAAGGAGGAGUAAAGAAUUGAAGCUUUCGUUAGGGCACUUGGAAGGACCAUGCUUAGGAGUAAGAUCCACAGAUAAAGAUUAGGUGCUAAAGUAGGUCAGCCGUUAAAAAGCACAAUAACAAAGCUCAACAGGAGCAAAGUGAUUUGUUGGUUAUCCCCGUACCUUUCAGCAGAAAAACUAAUUCUACUAGGAAGAAUGUUACUCCUAACCUCAUCCAGAACCUCUACAAUUGUUUAUAUGCAACUUGUGGAACUCAGUAAAAAAUUUCACUGCCUGCCAAAGAGGAAAGGGGGGGGGAGGGGACUAAGCACUCACCUUCACAAAUAGAUUCACAGAUGAAGGGUACUGUAGGUAGGCGAGGAGUGACGCUGAGGAACGCCUUUUUUCCUCUUCAUCUGUACAGUGUCCUUUCCCUCCUCCUCAUAGGCUUCCCUUUGGGGCACCUGUUGCCACUCUUUCUGAAACCAUGGCAGGGACAGGGGUCCCUGCACGGGCCCAGAAUCCUAGUCUCUGCUAAUUUCCAGAAACACUGGCUGAAAGGGCCAGGGGGAUGUAGGAAGAGAGUAAGGUCCAGGACUGAGGCUUCUGCCAUUAAGUGGGCUCAGAAGAGCAGCCAAACAAGGACAACAAAAGGGUAGAGUAACUGGAGAAAUUUUCGGCAGAACGAGGCCUUCAAGGUCUUGAGUCCCCACGUGGAUACAGGCCCUAUGUUGCACAAUGGCAGCUUUUCCACCGCCAUUAGCCUUUCCCUGCGUUCUGCUAACUGACCCUGGACCCAGAAAACCACACAACCGCCCACGGGCUACUUCGAAACUCGCGGUAGGGUGGAGACGCCUACAGCCUGUGCCUGAGUUCCCACAGCCAGUGAGCUGUAGUGCACAUGCGCACGCACGCGGCUUCUGCAGCGCGCAUGUGCAGUAGAGUUUAGCUGCCUUGCCUCGCUGCAAUCUUCCCCGCGUUGCACAGCGCGAGGCUGAGGAGCUUCCCGUGAGCUCUUUGCCGUGCUGCUGUGAUCGCGCGCUGGCGUGCCAAUCAAGAGGGAGCAGCGAAAAGCAGAGUCAGCAAUUCUUCCACCUGUCUCCUGCUUAGCUGAUAACUUGCUUCCUGUUUCACUGAAAAGAAAAUAAGCAACUAGAAGAGAAUUUUCACCAGCUCUCAAGACCACAGUUGCCGGCUUGGCUGUACCUUGACUCUCUCGUUACUGUGAAAUGUCCCAACUGCCAUACAGGAUCUUGGAUCCGCCAGUUUCCAUAAACUCCACAUCUGUAUGCUGUCCUCAAACAGAUGAGUUUUCUACUGCAUCCAGAUUUUUAGAUUUCUGAGAAUUUACCAUCAGCUACUCUCGUCCUACUGGAAAGCAAAAAUCUCCCUUUCUCAGCUUUUUUUACUUUGUUGCAUUGUUCUAACUUCAUUUUCACCAUUCAGAACUCUAUUGACAGUCUGCUGAUGGUGGCGGACACUGCUGUGCCUGUCUCAUAAUGUUUGUUCACUCUUACUAAUAGCAUCCCAGUUUUGCUCAAAGUAGUCACUCAAAAUGUAUCUUUUCCAACAUCUCUUCUAGUAAAGAUUAUCCACAUAACAAAGUUCUGGCCAGUGACCACUUUGGGGGGAUUUAAUUCAAUAUCUUAGGACAUUUGAUGAUCAAUAUUACUAUUAUCAGAGGUGUUAUUAAAAAUAAUAUUACAAAUUAAGCCAAUUUUAUACAAAGUAGCAAUUAUUUUAUGAGUUAGACUCGAGCUUCCAACAAAACUAGCCCUUAUCCAUGUGACAAUGUUAUCAUGGAUUGAGAUUUAAAUGAAUGACCAAAUCCCUUGGUUAAUUAUUGAUUCCAAGUCUGCGCUAGUCAUAAUCAUAUAUCCUCUUUCCUAUUACAAGGAGGUACUGACAAAGGUUACCAACAGACCUUAUGUUUAAGUAGUGCUUAGCCUUCCCUCAGCAAUAAAAUCCCAGUCAAUUUAAAUAAGUUUCCAAUUCCAGCCAAUAAUUUUGUAUGUCUAGUUUUUGUUUAUGUGUGGGACUUAGCUGUUAGAGAGCAUUUAUGUAGAUUACAUGCCCCAUUUAUGAAUUCCUAUAAAUUAAUGGGCUGUUAGUUUCUCACAGGUUCACUCCUUGAGUUUCCACUGCCAAGAUCCCAAUCCACUCUUUUUUCUACUUUCUAUCUGGAGAAGCAUGAUAAACAGCACCGCUUUUUUAGUGUGCAGGAUGUUUUCCAUCUUUGUUUCUGGGUAUCAUGUCUAUUUACCUGUUC